RNAcentral lists this microRNA precursor (87 nucleotides) under Bombyx mori (domestic silkworm). RNAcentral describes it as "mir-2807 microRNA precursor family". It matches the Rfam family "mir-2807 microRNA precursor family". Lineage: Eukaryota; Metazoa; Arthropoda; Insecta; Lepidoptera; Bombycidae. The record is from Rfam by way of RNAcentral.
GUAACUGGAAUAUCUGUAUGGGGUUGGAACGUUGACCCUAGCGGCAAACGUAGGGGCGCUGUUUCAACUUCAUACAAAUUUAAGUUA